UGACGGGGGCCCGCACAAGCGGUGGAGCAUGUGGUUCAAUUCGACGCAACGCGAAGAACCUUACCCAGGCUCGAACGGCAACUGACAUUCGGCGAAAGCCGGCUCCCGCAAGGGCAGUUGUCGAGGUGCUGCAUGGCUGUCGUCAGCUCGUGUCGUGAGAUGUUGGGUUAAGUCCCGCAACGAGCGCAACCCUUGUCCGCUGUUGCCAUCAGGUUAUGCUGGGCACUCUGCGGAGACUGCCGGUGAUAAACCGGAGGAAGGUGGGGAUGACGUCAAGUCAGCAUGGCCUUUAUGUCUGGGGCUACACACGUGCUACAAUGGCCGAUACAAACCGUCGCGAUACCGCAAGGUGGAGCUAAUCGGAGAAAGUCGGUCUCAGUUCGGAUUGCAGGCUGCAACUCGCCUGCAUGAAGUUGGAAUCGCUAGUAAUCGCGGAUCAGCACGCCGCGGUGAAUACGUUCCCGGGCCUUGUACACACCGCCCGUCACAUCACGAAAGCUGGCUGUACUAGAAGUAGCCGCGCUAACCCGCAAGGGAGGCAAGUUCCUA
RNAcentral lists this ribosomal RNA (549 nucleotides) under uncultured Acidobacteriota bacterium. Its description in RNAcentral is "bacterial SSU rRNA". It matches the Rfam family "Bacterial small subunit ribosomal RNA", at positions 911 to 1459 of the family's 1533-position model. Lineage: Bacteria; Pseudomonadati; Acidobacteriota. The record is from RNAcentral.